This 460-nucleotide ribosomal RNA is filed under the name uncultured bacterium. Its description in RNAcentral is "partial 16S ribosomal RNA". It matches the Rfam family "Bacterial small subunit ribosomal RNA", at positions 338 to 795 of the family's 1533-position model. The record is from RNAcentral.
CCUACGGGGGGCAGCAGUGAGGAAUAUUGGUCAAUGGGCGCAACUCUGAACCAGCCAAGUAGCGUGCAGGAUGACGGCCCUAUGGGUUGUAAACUGCUUUUAUCCGGGGAUAAAGCGCGUCACGUGUGGCGUAUUGCAGGUACCGCAUGAAUAAGGACCGGGUAAUUCCGUGCCAGCAGCCGCGGUAAUACGGGAGGUUCGGGCGUUAUCCGGAUUUAUUGGGGUUAAAGGGAGCGGAGGCCGCAAGUUAAGCGUGUUGUGAAAUUGCCGGGGUCAACCCCGGCCCUGCAGCGGGAACUGGGGUGCUUGAGUGCGCGGGAGGUAGGCGGAAUUCGUGGUGUAGCGGUGAAAUGCUUAGAUAUCACGAAGAACUCCGAUUGCGAAGGCAGCUUACCGUAGCGGAACUGACGCUGAGGCUCGAAGGCGCGGGUAUCGAACAGGAUUAGAUACCCCUGUAGUC